GGCGGGGUCUCAGGAGAUAGUGGAGAACUCCUUCAGCAGGACCUCCUGGCUGAGUGUGUGGAAGGCCAGGUUCCUCCGGACGUUGGUGCUAAUGGAUCGGACCUGGAGAAGAUAGGAUCUCACUAACUCACGAAGCUGCCCAGGUGGAGGUGGGAUCUGUGACCCUCCUGCCUCAGCCUUCCGCACUGCGAGGAUUACAGAGCAGGGAAGGACAACCCGAGAGACCAACUCUGAGCACCAAGUCCAAGUCUGACCAGGCCACCUUUGCUUC
This is a long non-coding RNA of Fukomys damarensis (Damara mole-rat), 271 nucleotides long. RefSeq lists it as uncharacterized. Lineage: Eukaryota; Metazoa; Chordata; Mammalia; Rodentia; Bathyergidae. The transcript has 3 exons. The record is from RefSeq and is a predicted model, not a curated record.